Molecule: long non-coding RNA, 776 nt
Filed under: Felis catus (domestic cat)
Lineage: Eukaryota; Metazoa; Chordata; Mammalia; Carnivora; Felidae
Description: lncRNA (ENSFCAG00000050636.1)
Source: RNAcentral
CGCCGCCGCCGCCGCCGCAGCCCCUCGCGCUAACUAACGGUCGGUAGCGGCCCGCGCGCGCCGCCCGCCGGGGGCUCGCGCCAGCCACGAGGGAGCGUCCGCGGCCCGCGCGCCCGCGCGGCGGAGGCGAGGUGAGUCCCGGGUCCUCCAUCCCGCCGAGUGCCCGCCCCCGGUCGCGGCCGGGACUCCUGCCCCUCGAGCGGCGUCCGCGUCCCUUCGUGGACCGGAUGGACGCGGCGGCGCCCCGCGCGCCGCCGGGCCCCCGGCGGGCACGGGCCGGGUGAGUGUCGGGCUGGCCUCUCCUGAGGUCCCGGUCCGCGGGCGGGCGCGCGUGGGCGUAUCCCCUUCACCCACGCGCGGCCCCUUCACCCUUCUCGGCUCUCGUCCAGGAUGCCGUUUUCUGAAAUGGAGCCAUGGAGAAUCCGCAGUUCAUAAUGGAGCUAACUGUACUGGCUGUCGGAAGGAGGAGAUUCUGAAGAUAGGGAGAUUCAGCUGUCGGUCUUUGAAAUUUCCUGUGGUCUGUUCAACCUGGAUGCAGAGGACAUGGAGCAAUCAAGUACGCAAGAGGUCCAAGCGUGUUUUGGAUGUUCCCCUUGAUAGACUGCAGUAUUUUUCCGGUUAAGACCCUCAGCUGUCGUGCAGAAGAAGGUUAUUCUCUUCUUGGUCCAUCCAGUUUCCUUGAAAUGCUUAGUAUUGUAGAGUAUCACCACACAGUUUCUGUUUUCAUCCAAGCAUAGAAAGAAUAAAAUCAAUUCUAUACGUUGACUUCUUUUCCA